CGACACUUUAAGCUUCAUUGCCGUAACGCCUAGAGGUUACUGGCAUACAUUCUGAUCAAUUCUGAUCAAUUCUGAUCAAAAUUUGAAAACUCUGACUGGUAAACAUGAGAACAAUGAGAAGGGUAAAGAUGAGUAAUAAAUUCCAAAAAUUCUUUGUGCCCUCGUGCUUAUUGGGUGGAAUAUAUAUAGGGUAUCGUAUAAUAAAAUGGGACACAAACAACCUAGAGCAGAGGGUAGAAGCCAAAAUGCACGAGCUCAAGAGGGAACUUCAAAAACCAAGUAAUUAAUGAAAAAAAAAUUACUCAAUUAUUGAAAAGUAUGUAACUUGAUUCAAUAAAAAUAUAAAAA
This is a long non-coding RNA of Aphidius gifuensis, 348 nucleotides long. RefSeq lists it as uncharacterized. Lineage: Eukaryota; Metazoa; Arthropoda; Insecta; Hymenoptera; Braconidae. The record is from RefSeq and is a predicted model, not a curated record. The transcript is spliced from 3 exons.